Small nucleolar RNA from Gossypium arboreum, 107 nucleotides. It matches the Rfam family "Plant small nucleolar RNA R71". From Rfam's summary of the family: R71 is a member of the C/D box family of snoRNAs containing the C (UGAUGA) and D (CUGA) box motifs. Multiple nearly identical copies of this snoRNA have been identified in Arabidopsis, and it is thought to function as a 2'-O-ribose methylation guide for 18S ribosomal RNA. The record is from Rfam. NCBI's taxonomy places the organism in Eukaryota, Viridiplantae, Streptophyta, Magnoliopsida, Malvales, Malvaceae.
AUUCCGUGGUGAGGGCAUUUUCGUAAUAGCUCUUUGUAUCAUUCCCAUGCCUCAUACAAGGAUUCAUCCUCCAUUUUUUUGAAGGUAGUGAUCUCGUUCCUCAACUU